This 687-nucleotide ribosomal RNA is filed under the name Anabaena oscillarioides RPAN17. Its description in RNAcentral is "bacterial SSU rRNA". It matches the Rfam family "Bacterial small subunit ribosomal RNA", at positions 352 to 1052 of the family's 1533-position model. Lineage: Bacteria; Bacillati; Cyanobacteriota; Cyanophyceae; Nostocales; Nostocaceae. The record is from RNAcentral.
UUUUGGGGAAUCUUCCGCAAUGGGCGAAAGCCUGACGGAGCAAUACCGCGUGAGGGAGGAAGGCUCUUGGGUUGUAAACCUCUUUUCUCAGGGAAGAACACAAUGACGGUACCUGAGGAAUCAGCAUCGGCUAACUCCGUGCCAGCAGCCGCGGUAAUACGGAGGAUGCAAGCGUUAUCCGGAAUGAUUGGGCGUAAAGCGUCCGCAGGUGGCUGUGUAAGUCUGCUGUCAAAGAGCAAAGCUCAACUUUGUAAAGGCAGUGGAAACUACACGGCUAGAGUGCGUUCGGGGCAGAGGGAAUUCCUGGUGUAGCGGUGAAAUGCGUAGAGAUCAGGAAGAACACCGGUGGCGAAGGCGCUCUGCUAGGCCGCAACUGACACUGAGGGACGAAAGCUAGGGGAGCGAAUGGGAUUAGAUACCCCAGUAGUCCUAGCUGUAAACGAUGGAUACUAGGCGUGGCUUGUAUCGACCCGAGCCGUGCCGUAGCUAACGCGUUAAGUAUCCCGCCUGGGGAGUACGCACGCAAGUGUGAAACUCAAAGGAAUUGACGGGGGCCCGCACAAGCGGUGGAGUAUGUGGUUUAAUUCGAUGCAACGCGAAGAACCUUACCAAGGCUUGACAUGUCGCGAACUCUUCUGAAAGGAAGAGGUGCCUUCGGGAGCGCGAACACAGGUGGUGCAUGGCUGU